CUGUUAGAGGAAGUAAAAGUCGUAACAAGGUCUCCGUUGGUGAACCAGCGGAGGGAUCAUUAACGAGUUCCAUUCUCCUUAAUACACCCGUGAACGUUUCUUCAACUGUUCGUUGCUUCGGCGGGCGGCCCCGGGGAGGGGCCGCAGCCCGCAAGGGCGCCCGCCGGCGGCAGCGCAGCACACAACUCUUGCGAUUUAGGCCCCUCUGAGAAGACACUAAAUGAGUCAAAACUUUCAACAACGGAUCUCUUGGUUCUGGCAUCGAUGAAGAACGCAGCGAAAUGCGAUAAGUAAUGUGAAUUGCAGAACUCAGCGAAUCAUCGAAUCUUUGAACGCACAUUGCGCCCGCCGGCAUUCCGGCGGGCAUGCCUGUUCGAGCGUCAUUUCAACCCUCGAGCCCUGCUCGGUGUUGGGGCCCCGCGGCCGCCGCGGGCCCUGAAAAGAAGUGGCGGGCGCGCCUGGACCCGUAGCGCAGUAAUACACCUCGCUCGCGGCGUCCCGGCGCGUGCCGGCCGUAAACCCCUUUAUCUCAGGUUGACCUCGGAUCAGGUAGGAAUACCCGCUGAACUUAAGCAUAUCAUAGG
Molecule: ribosomal RNA, 584 nt
Filed under: Chaetomium sp. C36
Lineage: Eukaryota; Fungi; Ascomycota; Sordariomycetes; Sordariales; Chaetomiaceae
Description: eukaryotic LSU rRNA
Rfam family: 5.8S ribosomal RNA (bases 230-383)
Source: RNAcentral